CCGAGAGCUGCGGGGAGAUUCUACAGGCGUGUUUGAAUGUUUUCAAUGCUGGAAGAAAAUGUCCUGAGUUGAUGCUGAAGGGCGUGUUGGUGUUUGUGAGUGGGUAUUUGGGUGGGUGACUCUGGAGGCCUGCAUCCUCCUGACGCUGGGAAACAUCCACUGGAAGCUUCAUUUCGUUCACAGGUUUCGGUUAACACAGUGAGGAUAAAGAGUUCAGCAUGGCAACAACGUCAACAUCAACCUUAUUUUUGGCUAAUAGUAGGAAAACCAGAGGUGUAAGACCACUGUAUUGGUUUAUUUGAAACUGUGCAGCCAAGUUGGACGUAUAGGAUUAAAGCAGGGCAUUUUCAUAUGACAGACUUGUUUUAUUUUUCCAGAUUUUUUUUUUUUUACAUAAAUAAACAAAAAAGUAAGGCAAGACACUAAAUCCAAUUAGAAAGGUUUGCAUGUUCAGUGAGACCAGCAGAUCUUCUGACUGCUGUCUGAUGCUCACAGAAGCAGGGCUCUCGUACUAAGUCCCACAUGUGUUUGCAAACAAAAUCAUGAUCCACUCUUGGAAUACACCUCCUCUUGUUCCUACGGCAGGUUCCAACAGGGGAUGCAGUGUCUGUGUCCACUCUAAGUUGAUAACAAGGUUAACAAUGAUGUUUUACUCAAUUGUUGUCAUUUAUUAAUUGCAGAAAGUGUGAAAUUUAACAAAGUGAAUCAGGAGACCCUUCACUGUGACCUUUCACAUGAAACUCAAAUUCCUCUACAAAACAAAUAUGAUUUUCUUCAUUUGCUGAUUGGACAAUACUUGUCUACACAUGCUGUGUACUAGCUACUAUCAAUGAAAAUUAAAUUCAUCCCUCAUUGUGCCUACUUUCACAGUUUAUAUUAUUAGACAAUAUAAUUAGUUUGACAUCUUGUUUUGAAAUGGAAGAAUCAUUCUCUUGCGAUCCCUACCUUCAGUUUGCCAAGGACUUUUAAAGGUAAGAUAUAAAAGUAUAAUAAAGAUGUUUAACUUGCAACUUAGACUGUUUAUAAAUCCUGUUUUUUAAAGGUUGUAUAAAACUAAACAUGUAUGACACUAAUCAAAAUUGUUGACAUGUAUCUUUAGCUAAAUAAAAGCUUUCCAAUAUUUGUUUUGUCACUGGAUUUUGUUCAUCAUGUAUAAGUUGAUUGUUUUUCUUUUCUUAUUAUUUAAAUCAAACUUAACUCUGAUACUUGCCAUGAACCUAACUAUUACCUGUACACCUAGCCUGAUUCUAAACUCAUUUCAAUGCAAACACUAAAAAUGGUGGUCCACCACACUAAGAACGGGCUUUGGUCGCAACAAGAUUACACCAGAAAAGGUCCUAAAGGGGCAACAUAAACAAGCACACACACAUUUAGAAGGAUAAGAAGUUUAAAUGUUGACCUGAGUCCAAAUAGAGGUCUGUAAGUAGGCAAGUAAACAGGAAUUAUGAAACGGUGUCAAGAAGGUGACUUUAUGCACAACACUGCCACCCAGUGGUCGCGUAAAUAGUUCAGCCCCUGCUGAAUUACCCGAACGAUGCAAUCCUGUCUCGAACUAACUGGAAUUAAUGUGUAUUUAUUGCUUACAAACAUCAGUUAUCUUUUUAAUUCAUAAGAACAGUUUCCCUACUUUCCUAAUGAACCUUCCUAUUAAAUUAUCUAAAAUAAAAGAAAGACAGGACACUAAUUAUUCUGUUUUCUAGCCUGUUUUAUUAUGAAGUGUUGCUACAGAGGUGGAAUAAGUCCCCCGGUUGAUGAAUUUAGAAGG
Molecule: long non-coding RNA, 1765 nt
Organism: Xiphophorus hellerii (green swordtail)
Lineage: Eukaryota; Metazoa; Chordata; Actinopteri; Cyprinodontiformes; Poeciliidae
Exons: 2
Source: RefSeq, a predicted model, not a curated record